Molecule: ribosomal RNA, 324 nt
Filed under: Salmonella enterica
Lineage: Bacteria; Pseudomonadati; Pseudomonadota; Gammaproteobacteria; Enterobacterales; Enterobacteriaceae
Also listed under: 2 other names
Description: bacterial SSU rRNA
Rfam family: Bacterial small subunit ribosomal RNA
Source: RNAcentral
UCUUGUAGAGGGGGGUAGAAUUCCAGGUGUAGCGGUGAAAUGCGUAGAGAUCUGGAGGAAUACCGGUGGCGAAGGCGGCCCCCUGGACAAAGACUGACGCUCAGGUGCGAAAGCGUGGGGAGCAAACAGGAUUAGAUACCCUGGUAGUCCACGCCGUAAACGAUGUCUACUUGGAGGUUGUGCCCUUGAGGCGUGGCUUCCGGAGCUAACGCGUUAAGUAGACCGCCUGGGGAGUACGGCCGCAAGGUUAAAACUCAAAUGAAUUGACGGGGGCCCGCACAAGCGGUGGAGCAUGUGGUUUAAUUCGAUGCAACGCGAAGAACC